RNAcentral lists this ribosomal RNA (495 nucleotides) under uncultured bacterium. Its description in RNAcentral is "bacterial SSU rRNA". It matches the Rfam family "Bacterial small subunit ribosomal RNA", at positions 28 to 526 of the family's 1533-position model. The record is from RNAcentral.
GAUGAACGCUAGCGGGAGGCUUAACACAUGCAAGUCGAGCGGGAUCCCCUUCGGGGGUGAGAGCGGCGCACGGGUGCGUAACGCGUAUGCAACCUGCCUUAUACAGGGGGAUAGCCCAUGGAAACGUGGAUUAAUAUCCCAUAGGAUUAAAGUUUCGCAUGAAACUAUGAUUAAAACUGAGGUGGUAUAAGAUGGGCAUGCGUCUGAUUAGGUAGUUGGUGGGGUAACGGCCCACCAAGCCGACGAUCAGUAGGGGUUCUGAGAGGAUUACCCCCCCANACUGGUACUGAGACACGGACCAGACUCCUACGGGAGCAGCAGUGAGGAAUAUUGGUCAAUGGGCGAGAGCCUGAACCAGCCAUCCCGCGUGCAGGAUGACGGCCCUAUGGGUUGUAAACUGCUUUUCUGCGCCAAGAAACCUGUCAACGAGUUGACAGCUGACGGUAGCGCAGGAAUAAGCACCGGCUAACUCCGUGCCAGCAGCCGCGGUAAUGU